GGCUCAGGACGAACGCUGGCUGCGUGCUUAACACAUGCAAGUCGAACGCUGAAGCCUGGGUGCUUGCAUCUGGGUGGAUGAGUGGCGGACGGGUGAGUAACACGUGAGUAACCCUGCCCCUGAUUUCGGGAUAAGCCCGAGAAACUGGGUCUAAUACCGGAUACGACCAUCUGCCGCAUGGCGGGUGGUGGAAAGUUUUUCGAUUGGGGAUGGGCUCGCGGCCUAUCAGUUCGUUGGUGGGGUAAUGGCCUACCAAGGCGACGACGGGUAGCCGGCCUGAGAGGGCGACCGGCCACACUGGGACUGAGACACGGCCCAGACUCCUACGGGAGGCAGCAGUGGGGAAUAUUGCACAAUGGGGGAAACCCUGAUGCAAGCGACGCAGCGUGCGGGAUGACGGCCUUCGGGUUGUAAACCGCUUUCAGCAGGGAAGAAGCCGUGAGGUGACGGUACCUGCAGAAGAAGUACCGGCUAACUACGUGCCAGCAGCCGC
This 493-nucleotide ribosomal RNA is filed under the name uncultured bacterium. RNAcentral's name for it is "bacterial SSU rRNA". It matches the Rfam family "Bacterial small subunit ribosomal RNA", at positions 21 to 518 of the family's 1533-position model. The record is from RNAcentral.